CCUUAAGGUGGAUCACAUGUACUAGUUACAAUGCUUUCCACCUGGAGUCUGCAGGGUGCUACACGGAACGUGAUCCUUGUGUCAAAUUCAAACAGGAAGGACCUUGGAGCCUUUUUAAACCCCAACCACAACUACCUGCCAGCCAGGUGCUGUUCAGCUCUGUUCUCGGCGUGCUCUCACCAACCCUCCAGCAUACCCUGAGG
Molecule: non-coding RNA, 203 nt
Organism: Pelobates cultripes (western spadefoot toad)
Lineage: Eukaryota; Metazoa; Chordata; Amphibia; Anura; Pelobatidae
Source: the annotation of a GenBank genome assembly